GAUGUAGAACGUAGCGAAAUGCGAUAAGUAAUGUGAAUUGCAGAAUUCAGUGAAUCAUCGAAUCUUUGAACGCACCUUGCGCUCCUUGGUAUUCCGAGGAGCAUGCCUGUUUGAGUGUCAUUAAUAUAUCAACCUCUUCAGCUUAUGCUUGUUGAGUGUUGGAUGGUGGGGGUUUGCUGGUGUCUUAUGAAGUCAGCUCCUCUGAAAUGCAUUAGCGGAACAAUUUGUUGACCGUUCAUUGGUGUGAUAAAAAUAUCUACGCUAUUGACGUCAGUCAGUUCAGCUUCUAACAGUCCAUUGACUUGGACAAAUUUUUCAUUAAUGUGACCUCAAAUCAGGUAGGACUACCCGCUGAACUUAAGCAUAUCAAUAAGCGGAGGA
This 381-nucleotide unclassified non-coding RNA is filed under the name soil metagenome. RNAcentral describes it as "partial contains 5.8S ribosomal RNA, internal transcribed spacer 2, and large subunit ribosomal RNA". The stretch from base 1 to 120 matches the Rfam family "5.8S ribosomal RNA", at positions 35 to 154 of the family's 154-position model. The record is from RNAcentral.